This 492-nucleotide ribosomal RNA is filed under the name uncultured bacterium. RNAcentral's name for it is "partial 16S ribosomal RNA". It matches the Rfam family "Bacterial small subunit ribosomal RNA", at positions 29 to 507 of the family's 1533-position model. The record is from RNAcentral.
AGUGAACGCUGGCGGUAGGCCUAACGCAUGCAAGUCGAACGGCAGCACAGUAAGAGCUUGCUCUUACGGGUGGCGAGUGGCGGACGGGUGAGGAAUACAUCGGAAUCUACUUUUUCGUGGGGGAUAACGUAGGGAAACUUCCGCUAAUACCGCAUACUACCUACGGGUGAAAGCAGGGGAUCUUCGGACCUUGGCCGAUUUAAUAGGCGGAUGUCGGAUUAGCUAGUUGGCGGGUUAAAGGCCCACCAAGGCGACGAUCCGUAGCUGGUCUGAGAGGAUGAUCAGCCACACUGGAACUGAGACACGGUCCAGACUCCUACGGGAGGAAGCAGUGGGGAAUAUUGGACAAUGGGCGCAAGCCUGAUCCAGCCAUACCGCGUGGGUGAAGAAGGCCUUCGGGUUUUAAAGCCCUUUUGUUGGGAAAGAAAAGCAGCAGGUUAAUACCCCGCUGUUCUGACGGUACCCAAUGAAUAAGCACCGGCUAACUUCGUG